This 387-nucleotide ribosomal RNA is filed under the name uncultured bacterium. Its description in RNAcentral is "bacterial SSU rRNA". It matches the Rfam family "Bacterial small subunit ribosomal RNA", at positions 28 to 417 of the family's 1533-position model. The record is from RNAcentral.
GACGAACGCUGGCGGCGUGCUUAACACAUGCAAGUCGAGCGGUAAGGCCCUUUCGGGGGUACACGGGCGGCGAACGGGUGAGUAACACGUGGGUGACCUGCCCUCAGCUCUGGGAUAAGCCUGGGAAACUGGGUCUAAUACUGGAUAUGACUCCACGGUGCAUGUCGUGGGGUGGAAAGCCUUGUGCGGCUGAGGAUGGGCCCGCGGCCUAUCAGCUUGUUGGUGGGGUGAGGCCUACCAAGGCGACGACGGGUAGCCGGCCUGAGAGGGCGACCGGCCACACUGGGACUGAGACACGGCCCAGACUCCUACGGGAGGCAGCAGUGGGGAAUCUUGCGCAAUGGGCGAAAGCCUGACGCAGCGACGCCGCGUGAGGGAUGACGGCCU